CCUACGGGAGCAGCAGUGGGGAAUAUUGGACAAUGGGCGAAAGCCUGAUCCAGCCAUGCCGCGUGUGUGAAGAAGGCCUUCGGGUUGUAAAGCACUUUCAGUGGGGAAGAAAGCCUUGGGGCUAAUACCCUCGAGGAAGGACAUCACCCACAGAAGAAGCACCGGCUAACUCCGUGCCAGCAGCCGCGGUAAUACGGAGGGUGCGAGCGUUAAUCGGAAUUACUGGGCGUAAAGCGCGCGUAGGCGGUCUGAUAAGCCGGUUGUGAAAGCCCCGGGCUCAACCUGGGAACGGCAUCCGGAACUGUCAGGCUAGAGUGCAGGAGAGGAAGGUAGAAUUCCCGGUGUAGCGGUGAAAUGCGUAGAGAUCGGGAGGAAUACCAGUGGCGAAGGCGGCCUUCUGGACUGACACUGACGCUGAGGUGCGAAAGCGUGGGUAGCAAACAGGAUUAGAUACCCUAGUAGUC
Molecule: ribosomal RNA, 464 nt
Filed under: Vreelandella stevensii
Lineage: Bacteria; Pseudomonadati; Pseudomonadota; Gammaproteobacteria; Oceanospirillales; Halomonadaceae
Description: partial 16S ribosomal RNA
Rfam family: Bacterial small subunit ribosomal RNA
Source: RNAcentral